This 293-nucleotide ribosomal RNA is filed under the name uncultured prokaryote. Its description in RNAcentral is "partial 16S ribosomal RNA". It matches the Rfam family "Archaeal small subunit ribosomal RNA", at positions 455 to 747 of the family's 1478-position model. The record is from RNAcentral.
GUGCCAGCCGCCGCGGUAAUACCGGCAGCCCGAGUGAUGGCCGAUUUUAUUGGGCCUAAAGCGUUCGUAGCCUGCCAGACAGGUCCGUCGGGAAAUCUGCACGCCCAACGUGCAGGCGUCCGGCGGAAACCAGCUGGCUUGGGGCCGGAAGACCCAGGGGGUACGUCCGGGGUAGGAGUGAAAUCCUGUAAUCCCGGACGGACCGCCGGUGGCGAAAGCGCCCUGGGAGGACGGACCCGACGGUGAGGGACGAAAGCUAGGGUCACGAACCGGAUUAGAUACCCGGGUAGUCC